RNAcentral lists this unclassified non-coding RNA (167 nucleotides) under uncultured Ascomycota. RNAcentral's name for it is "sequence contains ITS2". Lineage: Eukaryota; Fungi; Ascomycota. The record is from RNAcentral.
AUAUCCCUCAAGCUUGGCUUGGUGCUGGGCCUACCAUCUGCAGGAUGGAGGCCUGAAAGGCAGUGGCGGCGUCAGUUUCUGGUCCCUGAAGCUUAUGGGCUUUACCACACCUGCUUUGGGGGACCGGCUGAUUGCUUUUAGCCUAUCCUAUUUGUGUUACACACUCU